RNAcentral lists this transfer RNA (90 nucleotides) under Vibrio phage Athena. RNAcentral's name for it is "tRNA-Tyr". The record is from RNAcentral. Lineage: Duplodnaviria; Heunggongvirae; Uroviricota; Caudoviricetes; Demerecviridae. RNAcentral also lists the same sequence under 2 other names.
GUCGUAUUAAACGUCUAUGGAGGACGGCGGGAUUGUAGACCCCGUGUUGCGAAAGCAGCUCCCUAGGUUCGAUUCCUAGAUGCGGCACCA